AAAUGUUUAGCAACAUCCACAGAGACAUCACCGUUGGCAGUUAACUAAUCAUGGCAAUAUAUGGGAGCUAGUGAAGAUCUCAACUUUUCGAUGGCUCAAUGAGAUGCUGCAUACUUGAAUUUUCAGAUACAGGUCGAAUCUUGAUCUCCAAUCUUCCCAUCGAUAACCUGGCUACAAUUUUGCAGCUUCUAACAAAUACCAUUCUAUGAACGGAUUGGACAAAAGUUCCAUCCAAUACAACUGCUUGGAUUAGAGAAGCCAGACCUGGUACCUUUCAUCCCUUCCAUGUUCAAGUAUCUGAGGGAAAGGAGGAUGCAAGAGAAAAGGUUGUCAACUUUGCAAUUGAGGCUCUGUGGCUUAGUCCAUUCAUGGAUGUGGCCCACAAGACUGCAUGGAUAAAUGAUCAAGACCACCACCCAUCUGCUCGCCCCUACCAUUCUGGGUGAUUGUACAGAAGAUGGAGAAUCUGUGCUACCUGAUUUCUGUUGCAUAGUCAGAUUAUGAAGACCAGCAUCCACACACACCAACUUUUUGUGGGUGAUUGUACAAAAAACAUGCGGAUAGGAGAAUCCUAGCUGCCCAAUUUUCUCUGUUAAAUGGGAUAUUUAUACAGUUUGUACAAAAAUGGCUGAUUUUUGUCAUCACUCAUUUGCUUGAAGGCUCUUACUCAGAUGGAUAGGAUUGUCCAAUUGAUGUGAUAUUUAUACGGUUCCCUGUGGCCAUAGGCUUAUAAGAUUGACAUACCAGAUGAUCCACCCAUGAGCCAUGCAGGCCCAAUCAAGCAGUAGACCCUCUGACAUAAUGGCAGGCUCCAAAUCGAAAAUGAAGCAAUAGGCCUCUCAAAUUCUAUGUCAAUGUCAGGCAAUCCCAUGUUCAAAAGGGAUUCUUCAGAUCGAGCAUGGAUGUUCUUCGUUGCUUGCAAGUUUAUCAGCUGUUAUGCUUCACGAGUAGGUUUCAGGAAGCAACGGUCACUUUACUAGCUGUUUGUAAUUCUAUCCUUGUGUUGAGUUUAGAAGGGUAAAGUAUAAAUGGAUGUUUAAGCAGAGGAAGAAAGAGAGAUUGUAUUUAUUUUAGAAUGCAUGUAAAAAAUAUAUGUAGUCUGACUGUUAUGGUUGUUACAAGUAAUCAUAUGAGUUUCAUGAGC
Long non-coding RNA from Magnolia sinica, 1144 nucleotides. RefSeq lists it as uncharacterized. Lineage: Eukaryota; Viridiplantae; Streptophyta; Magnoliopsida; Magnoliales; Magnoliaceae. The transcript is spliced from 2 exons. The record is from RefSeq and is a predicted model, not a curated record.